AAAAGGAAAGAAAGGAAAAACAAGAACAAAACCUAGGUGGAGGAUUUCAAGAGAAAAAGUGUGAAAAAUCAAGGAAAACAAGUGAAAAAGGUAAGAUUUUUCAAUUUAAACUUGAAAUCUAUUUUCCUUAAGCAUUUCUCCUUAUUUUUUAUGGUUAAAUUACAUGUUUUCAUGAAGAAUUCAUGGCUGGUCAAAAUGGGUAUGGAGAGAGAAAGAUGUUGGAUUGAAUUGAUUUUAAGAUAUGUUAGUGUUUUUAGUUAGCUUAGUAUAUUUAGAAGCAAAACAACAAGAAAAGAAUCCAUUUUCCCCAUGAAUCUUCAUUGGCAGAAUCUUCCUUGAUGUGUGUGGCUGAUGGAUUAUUAUUAUUUCAAGAGAAAUGGCUUAGAAAAUGAUGAAUAAUUGUGAGAAAAAUUAAGUAGGAAAAAUCACGGUGUUAGUGCACUAUAAUGGCCAAAUUUUUCCAUGAAGAAAUGGGAGGGUUUUGAUGUUGAAAUUGGUGUUAUUUGAAUAAUGUUUGGUGAAUUGAGGCAUUAGAAAAGAAAUGGAGUAAUUUGGGAUUAAAUUGGACGCGUUAGCAAUUAAUCGGGGUGAUAAGUCGAAUUAGGCCAAUAUCGGGGAUUAGAUGGUUACCAGUACAUUUUGCAUUUCAUAUCAUGCAUUAGUAGUCUAAAUUAGUUUAAAUUCAAUUUAGUACCAAUGAAGUAAGUUUCUUGAUUUUGUACUGUGUUAAGGUGGUGAGUCCUCCGAUAAAGGCAAGGGAAUUGCACCCGAGGACCAGUAAUCUGAGUACUUCGAAAAUCCUCAUUCUAGACAUUGUGAGUAACCUUAUUAUCAUUUUAAUUAUCUAAAGUAUGUUUUAACUCGGUUUGGUGAAAUUUUAUGAAAAUGAGUUAAAUGGCAAAUUUUAGGUUUUAUAAUAAAAAAUGUGUUUAAAUGAAAAGAUUUUAUAAAUUGUCUUGAAACGAAAUAACGAUUUUGAAAUUAGAGUAAUUGGAGACCACCGGUAUGUUGUAAAUUUAUGAUUGGAAAUUGAUGUCUUAUGUUAUAUUGUUAUUGUGUUGGCAUGACUGGCUGGGCUGUGUUUUAUAAAUUGUAUGAAUUGUUUUAUUUUACCCUUGCAGGCUGGGUAGUAAAAUAUUAGCCCUGUCAUGCUGUCAAAAUUUUAUUGUAUGGUGGGUUUAGCUUGCUGCAGUAGGCGAAUUCUGUGGACCAGCCUAUUAGAGGGGCACAGAAUUUGGAUAUACAUAUGUACCUUGGUCGGAGAGGUGCGUAGGGUAUCUCCUGAGGUAUGGUUAGAGUUCACGUCACGCCGAACCACCUCGUGAUGAUGAACUCCGCUAACUCCAAGGAACGACUGUGUUUUUCAAACUAAUAAUUUGUUUACGUGUAUACGAAAUCUUUAACAACCUUGGCGGACUCGGUUAGAUGCCUCGACCAAGGUAUCCCCGAGAAUGAUUUUGGCAGGAGCCAAGCUUUUAAAAUACUCAUAAGCCAUGUUGAUUAUGUAAAUGAAAUGAGUAUUUAUGUUAUGAAAAACAUAUUUAGAUGAAAUGUUUUAAUAGUCUCUUUUUACUCGACUUUAGAUCUUUUGAAUGAUGUUUGUUUACUCACUGGGAUUAUAAAAUCUAACCACUCUCAUUUCCAACCAUUUCAGGUUCAGAUUAGGUUGUAGAUAGUUGAGUUCAUCGAGGACUACCCUUGGAUUUGCAUUCCUUCAAACUGUAGGUUCACAGUCCUCUUUACUUUUGGUUAUUCGGGGGCUCACUUGUUAUUGUAAAUUAAAUUAAAUACUCUAACUUACUGCAUUACAGUAUGUAUGAAUUUAUUUAGCUUUUACGCUACAAAAAUUAUUUACGUAUAACUCUAUAAAUAUUGUUUUAUAAGAAAAUAGAAUAUUUUACUUAAUAUUUCUUUUAUUUUCUUAUUAUAUCCAAAUAAUCGCA
RNAcentral lists this long non-coding RNA (1943 nucleotides) under Theobroma cacao (cacao). RNAcentral describes it as "long non-coding RNA (TCAC_LNC006304)". Lineage: Eukaryota; Viridiplantae; Streptophyta; Magnoliopsida; Malvales; Malvaceae. The record is from RNAcentral.